AGCGAACGCUGGCGGCAGGCCUAACACAUGCAAGUCGAACGGCAGCACAGUAAGAGCUUGCUCUUACGGGUGGCGAGUGGCGGACGGGUGAGGUAUAUAUCGGAAUCUACUUUUUCGUGGGGGAUAACGUAGGGAAACUUAAGCUAAUACCGCAUACGACCUACGGGUGAAAGCGGGGGAUCUUUGGGCCUUGCGCGGUUGGAUGAGCUGAUGUCGGAUUAGCUAGUUGGCGGGGUAAUGGCCAACCAAGGCGGCGAUCCGUAGCCGGCCGGAGAGGAUGGUCGGCGACAUGGGAACGGAGACACGGACCAGACUCCUGCGAGACGCAGCAGUGUGGAAUAGGGGGCAAGGGUGGCGAGCCUGAUCCAGCGAGACGGCGUGUGAGAAGAAGGCGCUCGGGUUGUGAAGCCCGUUUGUUGGUAAAAAAACGCAUCAGGCUAAUACGCCGCUUUACUGACGGUACCCGGAGAAGAAGCACCGGCUAACUUCGUG
This 492-nucleotide ribosomal RNA is filed under the name uncultured bacterium. Its description in RNAcentral is "partial 16S ribosomal RNA". It matches the Rfam family "Bacterial small subunit ribosomal RNA", at positions 30 to 507 of the family's 1533-position model. The record is from RNAcentral.